UGGGGGAUUCUGGCUGCGACACAACCAAGUCUGUCCUGACAGCAUCUCCCAUUACCUGUGGGAGCUGGAGCCCAGUUAGAAAGCGGUAGCUCUGCUCCGGAGAAAGCACCUGCCCGCAGUCCCCACCAACCAGCAACCGUUCCCUAGCAGGAGGUCAUCUCCAGGAGAAAUAUCAAGGAAACUUUCCUACACCUGCUGGCCCAGGUUCUUUUUUAGGGCUGCUGGCAGCACCGCCUCCCCCAGAGAAACACAAGCAGUGCCUGGAAGUCACCAUGAAAUGCGAUGCCUUUGAGAAGUUCCGUGGAAAGAAUGACAUCAUCACCAGCCCUUCCCCCCACCCCACCUUUUUUCCAGUGGGAGUGAGAAAUAAAUAGACUGACACAUUUUCCAGUCAAGGAGCGA
This is a long non-coding RNA of Chinchilla lanigera (long-tailed chinchilla), 402 nucleotides long. RefSeq lists it as uncharacterized. Lineage: Eukaryota; Metazoa; Chordata; Mammalia; Rodentia; Chinchillidae. The transcript is spliced from 3 exons. The record is from RefSeq and is a predicted model, not a curated record.